GAGACGAAACAGUGAUGUGGAGUAAAACUUAUAAAAGCGACCUCAGUUCGGAUUGAAGGCUGAAAUUCGCCUUCAUGAAGUCGGAAUUGCUAGUAAUGGCAGGUCAGCAUACUGCCGUGAAUACGUUCCCGGGCCUUGUACACACCGCCCGUCACACCAUGAGAGUUGGAGAUACCCGAAGCCUAUGAGCUAACUUUUAGAGGCAGUAGUCGAAGGUAGAAUCAAUGAUUGGGGUGAAGUCGUAACAAGGUAAC
RNAcentral lists this ribosomal RNA (254 nucleotides) under uncultured bacterium. RNAcentral describes it as "partial 16S ribosomal RNA". It matches the Rfam family "Bacterial small subunit ribosomal RNA", at positions 1246 to 1500 of the family's 1533-position model. The record is from RNAcentral.